GCCGCCCUAGCUCAGUCGGCAGAGCGCAAGGCUCUUAACCUUGUGGCCGAGGGUUCGAGCCCCUCGGGCGGCG
Selaginella moellendorffii is the source of this 73-nucleotide transfer RNA. It matches the Rfam family "tRNA". Rfam says of the family: Transfer RNA (tRNA) molecules are approximately 80 nucleotides in length. Their secondary structure includes four short double-helical elements and three loops (D, anti-codon, and T loops). The record is from Rfam. Lineage: Eukaryota; Viridiplantae; Streptophyta; Lycopodiopsida; Selaginellales; Selaginellaceae.